Neoarius graeffei (lesser salmon catfish) is the source of this 420-nucleotide non-coding RNA. NCBI's taxonomy places the organism in Eukaryota, Metazoa, Chordata, Actinopteri, Siluriformes, Ariidae. The record is from the annotation of a RefSeq genome assembly.
AUGUUCACUGUUAUAUUCAUGUGUCUGUGGCUUUCACUCGGUGACUCCAUGGCAGCUUCAAUCAAGCCACUUUUCACUCAUACAAUUAUAGAUGAAGGCAGUGAUGUAACUCUGUCCUGCAGCUACAAAUCGAGUGGUCCAGGAAACUACCUGCACUGGUACAGACAAUAUCCAAAAUCUAAACCUGACUUCCUUCUUUAUAUAUCACAAAGUGGAUAUAAAAGUGACUCAAUCCCACCACGUCUCUCUGCUAAAGUUGAUGAAAAGAAUAACCAAGUGGAUCUGCUCAUCUCCUCUGCUGCUGUAUCAGACUCUGCACUAUACUACUGUAAGCGGCAAGAUCAGGAUCCCAGCAGCGACUCUGACACAGCGGUUAUUCCUGCAGCACCACUGGGUUUAUUCCCGCACCAGCAGCAAUGA